RNAcentral lists this ribosomal RNA (502 nucleotides) under Bifidobacterium adolescentis. RNAcentral describes it as "bacterial SSU rRNA". It matches the Rfam family "Bacterial small subunit ribosomal RNA", at positions 186 to 699 of the family's 1533-position model. The record is from RNAcentral. Lineage: Bacteria; Bacillati; Actinomycetota; Actinomycetes; Bifidobacteriales; Bifidobacteriaceae.
CCGCAUGGUCCUCUGGGAAAGAUUCAUCGGUAUGGGAUGGGGUCGCGUCCUAUCAGCUUGAUGGCGGGGUAACGGCCCACCAUGGCUUCGACGGGUAGCCGGCCUGAGAGGGCGACCGGCCACAUUGGGACUGAGAUACGGCCCAGACUCCUACGGGAGGCAGCAGUGGGGAAUAUUGCACAAUGGGCGCAAGCCUGAUGCAGCGACGCCGCGUGCGGGAUGACGGCCUUCGGGUUGUAAACCGCUUUUGACUGGGAGCAAGCCCUUCGGGGUGAGUGUACCUUUCGAAUAAGCACCGGCUAACUACGUGCCAGCAGCCGCGGUAAUACGUAGGGUGCAAGCGUUAUCCGGAAUUAUUGGGCGUAAAGGGCUCGUAGGCGGUUCGUCGCGUCCGGUGUGAAAGUCCAUCGCUUAACGGUGGAUCCGCGCCGGGUACGGGCGGGCUUGAGUGCGGUAGGGGAGACUGGAAUUCCCGGUGUAACGGUGGAAUGUGUAGAUAUCG